UAGACACUAGUGGUACCGUGGCGAUUGGUGAUACCCUUCUCUACCCUUAUAUCCUUGUGAUAUCUUUCAGACACGCUUUCAGAUUUCUGUUUAUUUCUUUCAUUUCUUUGAUUAUUAGCUGUUUAGUUUUUAGUUCUUUUUUAUCUUGCUAAGCUAACAGAAAAAUAUCAAAAACACGAACCAGACACGAAUUAUGUAGUCAAUAUUUUAGAGGAAAAUUAAAGUUAUAAUGUUAUCUGAUCUCUGAUUUUAUUAAGCGACCCAGAAGAAAUAUUUGGUUUUGUUAUUUAUUAUUUUUUAUUAUCCAUAAAUACAGGGUAUUAACAUUUUUAUGGAAAAUACACACCUUCCAGCUUUUCCAAUAAUUAAUAUAAUAACAUUUUUUAAAUAGUAGUUUAGCAGAGAAAUGGAUGUUGAAGUAAAAGUGAAAGAAUAUGAAGAUUUUUU
Molecule: long non-coding RNA, 447 nt
Organism: Sitophilus oryzae (rice weevil)
Lineage: Eukaryota; Metazoa; Arthropoda; Insecta; Coleoptera; Curculionidae
Exons: 2
Source: RefSeq, a predicted model, not a curated record